CCUACGGGUGGCAGCAGUGAGGAAUAUUGGUCCAUGGGCUUACGCCUGAACCAGCCAAGUCGCGUGAGGGCAGACUGCCCUAUGGGUUGUAAACCUCUUUUGUCAGGGAGCAACGCCGGCUACGUGUAGCCGGACUGAGAGUACCUGAAGAAAAAGCAUCGGCUAACUCCGUGCCAGCAGCCGCGGUAAUACGGAGGAUGCGAGCGUUAUCCGGAUUUGUUGGGUUUAACGGGUGCGUGGGCGGAAUGCCAAGUCAGCGGUAAAAUCGCGGGGCUCAACCUCGCUACGCCUUUGACACUGGCGUUCUUGAGUGGGCGAGAAGUAUGCGGAAUGCGUGGGGUAGCGGGGAAAUGCAUAGAUAUCACGCAGAACGCCGAUUGCGAAGGCAGCAUACCGGCGCCCAACUGACGCUGAAGCACGAAAGCGUGGGUAUCGAACAGGAUGAGAUACCCUUGUAGUC
This 460-nucleotide ribosomal RNA is filed under the name uncultured bacterium. RNAcentral's name for it is "partial 16S ribosomal RNA". It matches the Rfam family "Bacterial small subunit ribosomal RNA", at positions 338 to 795 of the family's 1533-position model. The record is from RNAcentral.